Molecule: transfer RNA, 66 nt
Filed under: Charinus carajas
Lineage: Eukaryota; Metazoa; Arthropoda; Arachnida; Amblypygi; Charinidae
Description: tRNA-Asn
Source: RNAcentral
UUAAUAAAAGCCAAAAUCCUGCGGCCUUUCAUUGUUAAUGAAACCACUGAGUUCUCUCUUAUUAAU